Molecule: unclassified non-coding RNA, 267 nt
Filed under: uncultured fungus
Lineage: Eukaryota; Fungi
Description: partial contains small subunit ribosomal RNA, internal transcribed spacer 1, and 5.8S ribosomal RNA
Rfam family: Eukaryotic small subunit ribosomal RNA (bases 1-73)
Source: RNAcentral
GCAAACUUGGUCAUUUAGAGGAAGUAAAAGUCGUAACAAGGUUUCCGUAGGUGAACCUGCGGAAGGAUCAUCUUUGAAUUUGAUCUUAUUCCAGGGGGUCUGGCCCCGCCUUGGGGCUAGGCUUUCUUACUCUGGGAAUUUGCACUAGUCUUGUGACAAGUGCACUUUCCCGCAACCCCCAAACAUAGCAAUAUGUUAUGUUUAUUGUAAUAUUAUACAACUUUUAACGAUGGAUCUCUUGGCUCCCGCAUCGAUGAAGAACGCAGC